RNAcentral lists this ribosomal RNA (243 nucleotides) under uncultured bacterium. RNAcentral describes it as "partial 16S ribosomal RNA". It matches the Rfam family "Bacterial small subunit ribosomal RNA", at positions 534 to 776 of the family's 1533-position model. The record is from RNAcentral.
GCUAGCGUUGCUCGGAAUUACUGGGCGUAAAGCGCACGUAGGCGGCUUUCUAAGUCGGGGGUGAAAUCCUGGAGCUCAACUCCAGAACUGCCUUCGAUACUGGAAAGCUCGAGUCCGGGAGAGGUGAGUGGAACUGCGAGUGUAGAGGUGAAAUUCGUAGAUAUUCGCAAGAACACCAGUGGCGAAGGCGGCUCACUGGCCCGGUACUGACGCUGAGGUGCGAAAGCGUGGGGAGCAAACAGG